GUCUAGCUGACGAGUCCCAAAUAAGACGAAAUGUGGGUCCUAGAU
Molecule: non-coding RNA, 45 nt
Filed under: Schistosoma mansoni
Lineage: Eukaryota; Metazoa; Platyhelminthes; Trematoda; Strigeidida; Schistosomatidae
Source: RNAcentral